UGUGGGAUCGUCUGAGACCAGCCACCUGGACAACUGAUGAAACUGAGGAGUGUUUCUGUUGUGGGAUCUCGGGAGUCCUCACAUCAAGCUACAAGUUGUGUUCACAUUUUACAGAGGUGGCCAGCCAGGUGACACUGCAGUGGGUGGAACGUUCACACAGCUGGGUCCAGCUGACCAGGCAAGGCUGAGCGGUGGAAGCGCAUGGUGUGCUGACUAGGAGGAGAACCUUGGAAAUACAGACUCCUCUAAGCUGAGGGGAUCCACUGGCUAAUGCCCCUUGCUCUCAGCCACUCUAGUUUGAUGUGUUGGGCUUACACUUAAAUGCAUGGGGCUUAGGAUUUCUUGGUUCCUCUACACGGUGCACCUGAUAUCCCUUUAGUUUGAUUGACGUCACAAUUUGGAUUUGUCUUAUUAUUUGUUCAUGUUUAUGUUGAUCAUUCACGAUAAACAAACAUAUAAGUAAUAAAAUCCACC
This is a non-coding RNA of Oncorhynchus mykiss (rainbow trout), 474 nucleotides long. The record is from RefSeq and is a predicted model, not a curated record. NCBI's taxonomy places the organism in Eukaryota, Metazoa, Chordata, Actinopteri, Salmoniformes, Salmonidae.